This 279-nucleotide unclassified non-coding RNA is filed under the name plant metagenome. RNAcentral's name for it is "partial contains small subunit ribosomal RNA, internal transcribed spacer 1, and 5.8S ribosomal RNA". The record is from RNAcentral.
UUUCCGUAGGUGAACCUGCGGAAGGAUCAUUAUUGUAUAACCGAGGUGCGAGGGCUGUCGCUGACCCGAAAGGUCGUGCACGCACGAGUGCCCUGACAAACAUCCAACCCACCACUAUGUGCACCACCGCGUGGGCUUCCCUAUGGCUUGAUCGGAGGGGGGAUUACGCUGUCACCUAAACUCUGUAUGCGGUGAAGAACGCAUUUGUUGUUAUUGCGAUACGGCAAACAAUAAAACUUUCAACAACGGAUCUUAUGGCUCUCGCAUCGAGGAAAAAAA